AGAGUUUGAUCAUGGCUCAGAUUGAACGCUGGCGGCAGGCCUAACACAUGCAAGUCGAGCGGUAGAGAGAAGCUUGCUUCUCUUGAGAGCGGCGGACGGGCGAGUAAUGCCUAGGAAUCUGCCUGGUAGUGGGGGAUAACGCUCGGAAACGGACGCUAAUACCGCAUACGUCCUACGGGAGAAAGCAGGGGACCUUCGGGCCUUGCGCUAUCAGAUGAGCCUAGGUCGGAUUAGCUAGUUGGUGAGGUAAUGGCUCACCAAGGCGACGAUCCGUAACUGGUCUGAGAGGAUGAUCAGUCACACUGGAACUGAGACACGGUCCAGACUCCUACGGGAGGCAGCAGUGGGGAAUAUUGGACAAUGGGCGAAAGCCUGAUCCAGCCAUGCCGCGUGUGUGAAGAAGGUCUUCGGAUUGUAAAGCACUUUAAGUUGGGAGGAAGGGCAUUAACCUAAUACGUUGGUGUCUUGACGUUACCGACAGAAUAAGCACCGGCUAACUCUGUGCCAGCAGCCGCGGUAAUACAGAGGGUGCAAGCGUUAAUCGGAAUUACUGGGCGUAAAGCGCGCGUAGGUGGUUUGUUAAGUUGGAUGUGAAAUCCCCGGGCUCAACCUGGGAACUGCAUUCAAAACUGACAAGCUAGAGUAUGGUAGAGGGUGGUGGAAUUUCCUGUAGCGGUGAAAUGCGUAGAUAUAGGAAGGAACACCAGUGGCGAAGGCGACCACCUGGACUGAUACUGACACUGAGGUGCGAAAGCGUGGGGAGCAAACAGGAUUAGAUACCCUAGUAGUCC
RNAcentral lists this ribosomal RNA (791 nucleotides) under uncultured bacterium. RNAcentral describes it as "bacterial SSU rRNA". It matches the Rfam family "Bacterial small subunit ribosomal RNA", at positions 8 to 796 of the family's 1533-position model. The record is from RNAcentral.